AUGACCACAUCAUGUUAAAACACUGGUUCUCAUAUGAUCACCAAUGUUAAGCAACAUCAAGAAUGGUCAGUACCUAGAUGGGUGACCGUUUGAGAAUACAAGGUGCUGUAAG
Acanthosepion pharaonis is the source of this 112-nucleotide non-coding RNA. Lineage: Eukaryota; Metazoa; Mollusca; Cephalopoda; Sepiida; Sepiidae. The record is from the annotation of a GenBank genome assembly.